GAUGAACGCUGGCGGCGUGCCUAAUACAUGCAAGUCGAGCGAACGGACGAGGAGCUUGCUUCUCUGAUGUUAGCGGCGGACGGGUGAGUAACACGUGGAUAACCUACCUAUAAGACUGGGAUAACUUCGGGAAACCGGAGCUAAUACCGGAUGAUAUUUUGAACCGCAUGGUUCAAAAGUGAAAGACGGUCUUGCUGUCACUAAUAGCUGGAUCCGCGCUGCAUUAGCUAGUUGGUAAGGUAACGGCUUACCAAGGCAACGAUGCAUAGCCGACCUGAGGGGGUGAUCGGCCACCCUGGAACUGAGACAGGGUCCAGACUCCUACGGGAGGCAGCAGUAGGGAAUCUUACGCAAUGGGGGAGAGCCUGACGGAGCAACGCCGCGUGAGUGAUGAAGGUCUUCGGAUCGGAAAGCUCUGUUAUUAGGGAAGAACAUAUGUGUAAGUAACUGUGCACAUAUUGACGGUACCUAAUCAGAAAGCCACGGCUAACUACGUG
RNAcentral lists this ribosomal RNA (497 nucleotides) under uncultured bacterium. RNAcentral's name for it is "partial 16S ribosomal RNA". It matches the Rfam family "Bacterial small subunit ribosomal RNA", at positions 28 to 507 of the family's 1533-position model. The record is from RNAcentral.